This 32-nucleotide ribosomal RNA is filed under the name Quercus suber. RNAcentral describes it as "partial 18S ribosomal RNA". The record is from RNAcentral. Lineage: Eukaryota; Viridiplantae; Streptophyta; Magnoliopsida; Fagales; Fagaceae.
UUUUCCGUAGGUGAACCUGCGAAAGGAUCAUU